UGAGGAACAUGACCUUCGGCGGGGGAGUAGCCGGCCCAACGGCCGGGUAAUACCGCGUACGACCACAUGGGGACAUCCCUGAGUGGUGAAAGCAGCAAUGCGCCGAUGGAGUGCCUCGCGGCCUAUCAGCUAGUUGGUGAGGUAACGGCUCACCAAGGCGACGACGGGUAGUNNUGUGUAGAG
Molecule: ribosomal RNA, 183 nt
Filed under: uncultured bacterium
Lineage: Bacteria
Description: partial 16S ribosomal RNA
Rfam family: Bacterial small subunit ribosomal RNA
Source: RNAcentral